Molecule: ribosomal RNA, 253 nt
Filed under: uncultured bacterium
Lineage: Bacteria
Description: partial 16S ribosomal RNA
Rfam family: Bacterial small subunit ribosomal RNA
Source: RNAcentral
UACAGAGGGGGCGAGCGUUGUUCGGAAUUACUGGGCGUAAAGGGCGCGUAGGCGGCCCUCUAAGUCGAACGUGAAAUCCCCGGGCUCAACCCGGGAACUGCGUCCGAUACUGGAGGGCUCGAAUCCGGGAGAGGGAUGCAGAAUUCCAGGUGUAGCGGUGAAAUGCGUAGAUAUCUGGAGGAAUACCGGUGGCGAAGGCGGCAUCCUGGACCGGCAUUGACGCUGAGGAGCGAAAGCCAGGGGAGCAAACGGG